This is a small RNA of Streptomyces bingchenggensis BCW-1, 119 nucleotides long. It matches the Rfam family "Actinobacteria sRNA Ms_IGR-7". Lineage: Bacteria; Bacillati; Actinomycetota; Actinomycetes; Kitasatosporales; Streptomycetaceae. The record is from Rfam.
CGGAAGUGCCUUGUCGAUCGUGCCUGAUGUGGUCCUAGACAAACCCCAUCAUCGCAGUUCGCAAGGCACUUCUUCGUUUCUGGGUGAACCAUCCACCGGCAUCAAGCCGGUGGAUCCGG